UAUGACGUUAUGAUACUGACAUAACAGACAUGUUAACCAAAGUUGCAGACAUAACCUUUGAACAAAUUCUUAAGCGGAACAAGUUUAUUACGAUUGCUGAAAAGUCACUGGUCAGCAGGAUGGGAUACAGUCAAACUUAAGAAUACCUGUCAGACGAGCUUGCUUAGGUUUCCGAUGAUGAGAAGAAAAUUAGGUCUGCUGCAACACGGACCUUUACGCACCAAGUAGAACAAGUAACAAGAGCAUUUUAAAGAUCAAGAAGCUAAUCCAGAGAAAAGAUUUGUAAAGGGGAUCAUUUUUGACCUACAUGUAGUUAAACACACGUUUGGGAAAAAAUAAUUCAGUGCUUCUUUCAUGGUAUCCAGUUGAGUACACAUAAGAUUUUUAAUGAGUACUAACUAGUAAAAAAGUUAAAAAAGAAUAGAUGGAUAUCUGACAUGUGCAGCAGAUAAAAUAUAUAGUUAACAUGAGCUUUACCUAAAAUGUAAUACAGUACCCAAGA
RNAcentral lists this long non-coding RNA (502 nucleotides) under Mytilus galloprovincialis (Mediterranean mussel). Lineage: Eukaryota; Metazoa; Mollusca; Bivalvia; Mytilida; Mytilidae. The record is from RNAcentral.